This 610-nucleotide ribosomal RNA is filed under the name uncultured Basidiomycota. RNAcentral describes it as "LSU rRNA". It matches the Rfam family "Eukaryotic large subunit ribosomal RNA", at positions 43 to 635 of the family's 3401-position model. Lineage: Eukaryota; Fungi; Basidiomycota. The record is from RNAcentral.
UCAAUAAGCGGAGGAAAAGAAACUAACAAGGAUUCCCCUAGUAACUGCGAGUGAAGCGGGAAAAGCUCAAAUUUAAAAUCUGGCGGCUUUCGCCGUCCGAGUUGUAAUCUGGAGAAGCGUUUUCCGUGUUGGACCGUGUACAAGUCUCUUGGAACAGAGCGUCAUAGAGGGUGAGAAUCCCGUCUUUGACACGGACUACCAAUACUUUGUGAUACGCUCUCAAAGAGUCGAGUUGUUUGGGAAUGCAGCUCAAAAUGGGUGGUAAAUUCCAUCUAAAGCUAAAUAUUGGCGAGAGACCGAUAGCGAACAAGUACCGUGAGGGAAAGAUGAAAAGCACUUUGGAAAGAGAGUUAAACAGUACGUGAAAUUGUUGAAAGGGAAACGCUUGAAGUCAGUCGCGUUGUCCGGGACUCAGCCUUGCUUCUGCUUGGUGUAUUUCCUGGUUGACGGGCCAACAUCGAUUUUGGACGGCGGAUAAAGGUGAGGGGAAUGUGGCAUCCUCGGAUGUGUUAUAGCCUCUCGUCGGAUGUCGUCGUCUGGGAUCGAGGACCGCAGCACGCCUUUUUGGCCGGGGUUCGCCCACGUAACGUGCUUAGGAUGUUGGCAUAAU